RNAcentral lists this ribosomal RNA (245 nucleotides) under uncultured bacterium. RNAcentral describes it as "partial 16S ribosomal RNA". It matches the Rfam family "Bacterial small subunit ribosomal RNA", at positions 109 to 354 of the family's 1533-position model. The record is from RNAcentral.
AGUAACGCGUGAGGAACCUGCCUUCCAGAGGGGGACAACAGUUGGAAACGACUGCUAAUACCGCAUGACACAUGACCGUGGCAUCACGGACAUGUCAAAGAUUUAUCGCUGGAAGAUGGCCUCGCGUCUGAUUAGCUAGUAGGCGGGGUAACGGCCCACCUAGGCGACGAUCAGUAGCCGGACUGAGAGGUUGACCGGCCACAUUGGGACUGAGAUACGGCCCAGACUCCUACGGGAGGCAGCAG